This 219-nucleotide non-coding RNA is filed under the name Thioclava indica. Lineage: Bacteria; Pseudomonadati; Pseudomonadota; Alphaproteobacteria; Rhodobacterales; Paracoccaceae. The record is from RNAcentral.
CUAUCUAAAUGCCUGUUUGGUGCCCAAUGAUGCGCAAAGCGCAGGGCUCAAUCGGGAACGGGGAAGGGUGGACCAAGUUGCGGCACCCAAAGCCCCGGCCGCCCCCGCGACUGUAUGCGGCGAGCGCGCUCUGAAAGACCACUGGGGGGCAACCCUUGGGAAGGUAGAGUGUCGCCUCGACCCGCGAGCCAGGAAACCGGCCAUCAGGUCAACUCAAAC